UGCAUCCCGAAGCCUUGGGCGCUCAUGGGAAUCUCUGCUGCGGCAGGGGCUGAGGAAGUGCUGGAGCGAGGAUGCAGCAUCUCAGGCCUGCUGGUUGUCGGGUCCCUCCGGGCGGAGCCUGUCCUGGCCAUCUCUCUCUUGGGUCCCAGCUGACCGGAAACUAUGGAUUUGUCACUUAAAUGCAUUACCCGAAUGGUCCUGCUGGAGUCUCUGCUCUUCAUCUUCACGAUCCAGGCCUCCACUGUCUACACUGCUGUCAGCUCUCCUGUCUUCUACACUCCCAUCAUGCUUUGAGCACUGACUGGCUUUUCCGGUCCAAAGAUCUAGAUACUUCCACAAUCCACCCCAAGGCGACACUGUCGGGUCUGUCUCAACAAGAUCACACUCGCAGUACCAACUUCAGUGCACGUUUGCUUUGUGCUGCUCUGAGGACAAGUCAAAGCCAUUGGCCAAAACCAAUCGGAGGGGAGGAAAGGGUUUAUGCGUGGCUUGCGCCUCCACACUGCAGUUCAUCAUGAAGGGGAGUCAGGGCAGGAACCCAGGGCAGAAAUGGAAACAAAUACUACCGGGGAGUUCUGCUUACUUACUUGCUUCCCAUGACUUACUCAGUCUGUUUUCUUACACAACCCGGCCUGCUUGCCCAGAGGUAGCAUCACACACAGUGGGCUGGGCCCUUCCACAUCCAUCAUUAACUGAGAAAAUGCCCUGCAGACUUGCCUCCUGUUAAACCUGAGAAUCGUGAGGAGAACAGACCAAAUCCACAAUUGUACAAUUAAAGCAAGCAGUAUUUUGGGGUGCACCUGAGACUGGCCACCUGGCUGUCUCAUCAUAAAUUGGGAUUUGAGAAAGCCGUUCCGGCUGGCUUCUCUGUGUAGCUUUGGAUCCUGUCCUGGAUCUCACUCUGUCGACCAGGCUGGCCUCGAACUCACAGAGAUCCACUUGCCUCUGCCUCCCAAGUGCUGGGAUUAAAAGUGUGCGCCACCACCACCCGGCAUCUUGAGGUUCUUUUUACAGGAGAAAGAGUUCACAGGGGCGAGAGAGUCGGCUGUUAUAUGUUGUUAGUAAAAUACAAUGAUGAAAGGAACAAGGGUCCGAGAUAUACUUCAUGUGAAUGGGGUCACGUGGUUUGCAGUGUGCAUCAGGUCUAAGAAACGGGAACUCAUUCCGCAAGCUACAUUGUUCCUGUUUUGGUCUCAUACCACAGGCCAAUCUGAUGGAGGCAUUUUCUCAAUUGAGGUUCCCUCCUCCUAGCUUAUGUCAAGUUGACAAAACAACAACUAACUAGCACAUUAUUGAAGUCUAAAAGACACACAAAUUUAGACCUAUAUUAUAUGGACUCAUUAUUGUUAUUGUUAUUAUAUUAUUACUUUAGGGCAAGGUAUGGAGCUCUGGCUGGCCUGGAACUCGUUAUAUAGACCAGGCUGGUCUCAGGCUCACAGAGAUUUACCUGCCUCGGCUUCCUAAGUGCUGACAGGCCUGGCUAAAGGCAUGAUUAAUACACUUUCCAAAGUGUGGGAGAGUCCUAGAGUUUGGAUACGUCUUGGUUAUAAUUCUAAAGCUGAAGUAUUUAUGCAAUGUGAUGAUUCCCCUGCAGGCUUUAGGGCAGGCAGGGAAAAACCAAUCAGUUCAAGGGAAGACUGAAACUCAGCUCAGCCCGAUUUUAUUGUAACUGGCACUGGACCAGGACUUCUAGAGUGUGGCCCAGAUCAUUUUGCAUUAGCCAUAUUUAAGCACAGCACAAGUUUGGGAGAAGUAUUUAGAUGACAAUUAACUCAGCCCUGUGAGUACAAGAAAGCUUAAGACAUGCUUACAUUGAAGUUCUUUGCAAAGUACCUGUGGCUUCACCCAUAAGAUGGGUUCUUGUUGACUCAGAAACAGUGCUCAAGCUAAGGGUCUGAGGAGAAUGACUGAGGUAGACAUGCCUGGCCCUAAGAUAACAUAGAAGUCACUUAGGCUGUUGUAAAGUACAAAUGACAUCUCUCACAAGGAUGACCUGGAAGUAAUGCUCAAGGUUUUAAGAGGAAAGGGUUUGGGAUAAGUAAAGCAUAAAUUUUGGAAGAUACAGGCUGAGCCUGGCUCACCAGACAGCAAAGGAUCACCUGGUUGCAAACUACAUCCGUCCUCAGCAUUCCAGGAGGAACACUAGGCACCCCAUUCCACUGGAGAGGUAAGCUGUGUGUUCAGUUUCCUGGCUUCUCCAGUGCGUAUCCGUCUGCACGAGACCCUUUUUGCCCCUUACAGAGGGACCGGUCACAGGAUCUUUCUUUACCUGUGACUCUACUGAGUCUUUUGCUGUCCAUAGUUUUGACUCUUCCUAUAAGUCAGUUCUGGCAAAAUGAAACUUCUUUUAUAAACUGAUUUGAGAUUGUUUGGCUAAAAA
Non-coding RNA from Peromyscus maniculatus bairdii (prairie deer mouse), 2380 nucleotides. Lineage: Eukaryota; Metazoa; Chordata; Mammalia; Rodentia; Cricetidae. The record is from RefSeq and is a predicted model, not a curated record.